Molecule: transfer RNA, 84 nt
Filed under: Smittium megazygosporum
Lineage: Eukaryota; Fungi; Kickxellomycota; Harpellomycetes; Harpellales; Legeriomycetaceae
Rfam family: tRNA
About the family: Transfer RNA (tRNA) molecules are approximately 80 nucleotides in length. Their secondary structure includes four short double-helical elements and three loops (D, anti-codon, and T loops).
Source: Rfam by way of RNAcentral
CCGAAAAUAGCUCAGCUGGUAGAGCGGGAGACUGUAGUUUGUAUAGUUAUCUCUAGGUCCCUGGUUCAAAUCCGGGUUUUCGGA